Long non-coding RNA from Gorilla gorilla gorilla (western lowland gorilla), 2799 nucleotides. RefSeq lists it as uncharacterized. The transcript is spliced from 6 exons. The record is from RefSeq and is a predicted model, not a curated record. Lineage: Eukaryota; Metazoa; Chordata; Mammalia; Primates; Hominidae.
AUCCAGGAUAGUCCUGGAAAUGAUCUUGAUGCUGUCUGUUCCUCGUUACAGCAGACCUGCUCAACUUCAGCAGCUAGAAGGAGGAUUGUCUUUCACCAGCUGCAGGAGCCUGUUCCCACUACAAGCCUGGUGGAGUCUUCGGAGCACAUGUGACUGUCCUACUUGUAUAGAGAAGAGAAACUGAGGCUCAGAAGAGACGCCUGGCUGAGUUUAACAGGACUGCAACAAGAAUUUUGCCUUUCUACUUUCUGGUACAGUGGUCUUUCCUUUGCCAUCAUGCCUCAGCAUAUCCAUGUUAGUAAAUUCUCCCAGUUGGGGAAAAGCUUGGCAGCAAUGAAAGUUAAUGUGAUGAAUCAUUUAGAUGGACAGAUUGGAAAAAUGUUGUUCCUUUUGCAUGUGAUGUUCUUGCCAGAAAUCAAGUAGGUGGAGUUUUUGAAGCGUAAUCAGUUAGAUAAGUAUGGUGGUUUUAAAUAAUCAAGCGUGGAGCCAUACCGGUUAUGUUUAAUUUAUAACAAAAUCAGACAAUUCAGGCAUGAUGUUGAACUCAUUGCGCUUGGCUCACUACUACAUUUCUCUCACCAAAAGCAAUGACUAUAAAGAGUUACAAAUACCAUGACCUUAUAUCAUAAAGCAUAAAUUAUUCCAGGAAGUUUUCCAUUUAAGUCACCUUCUCAAAAUCUUAGGAGAAAACUACCAAUAUUCAGUUCAAACCCCAGAGGCUUAAGGAAAAAUAUUAAUGUUGAAAUAGCAAGUAAGUGGUAGUAUCCUCGCUAUAUGCACAAUUGCAUCUGCUCGGGGGUUAGUCUUUCUUUAGCUCCUGUCUACAACUCACACCAGUCUCCGUAAAAGAAAUGAGGUCUCACUGAUACCAUCUAGCUUAAUGAGAUAAAAAUCCUGGUGAUCUCUGCAAGAAAAUAAAACUAAGAUAAACUAGUAUCUGCUACUGAUAAAUAUUUAACAGAUGUGGUCCAAAUCCCUCUGCCAGCUGGAGGAAGGAAAAAAGUUCUAUUUUACAGCUUGGAUAUAAUUAUUGGCCACAUUUCUCCAAGCAAAGACAGUGACAUUGGCUCACUCCCCAGGAGAACUUUCUUCUGAUCUUGGCACUAGGAUUUGCUUUUCUUUAACAGAUUGCAGCAAUGUACCCUUCACUUGACCCAGUUUAUUCAUUCAAAAGAUACCUGGAGCCAAAACCAUGUAUGAGAAAUAGCAAAGGAAGAGGCAGGCACAAGCUGUGUUUAUAUACCCACCAAAGGACUACAGCAAAACACAUAUAUUCUAGUCAGCACUGAGUGCACCUAUCUGUGUCAACAGUAGACCAGCUUGGUCUGGCAGAUGACCAUAUGACCCAGCUGAUUCACUCCGGAGUUAGAGGAACUUUUCCCAGACCCUGAAAGUCACCUUUUUAGACAACUUCGCAAACAGCCAUCCUUGUUCACGGUAUCAUGCCCCUUGUCACUGCUAAACAGACCGUUUGCAAAGAAUUUUCCUAAACAUCACCACUGAGGCUCCUUCCAGCAAUGACUCUGGUCCAUCAUUGGGAUUGCUGAGCAGCUGUUUCAUAACAUGAACAAGGAUGUUUUAACCAUGUUUCCUGACCUGGCCAUUUGGAUCCCAAGGAUGUUUUGGUCCAAGAAUAAAUUCCAGAGCUUAGUUCACCGAAGAAGACAGGAAAACUUGUCAGAUGGGGAAGAAUGUGUCAAGAGCAUGCACACAGAUUUACUCUUCAGCUAGAAGCUCCAAUUCCUAGAUGAUCUGAAUCCAACUCAGAGUGCUUGCACCUGUUUCCUGCCACACAGCUAGAGCUGUAUGAUGACCGGAGACACAGCUGUUGGAGGAAAAAAGUUUAUGUCAAUUAAAAUCCUGAGUUUCUCUGAUCUGGAAAGAAAAACUGCUAUGAACUUUUUAGAUGCCAACACAAGUGCUGAAGAGGAUGCUACAUGAGAGAAAGAUGGAUUCGUAUGUGGAAAAGCCUUCUAAGGAUAAAGUCUACCAUAUACUGACUUACUUUUGGAGGUAACAAGGGUUGGUGAGAUCUCAGUAGCGUCCUUCUCACGAGGAGCCUUGACAUCCUUCAUGCCACACCACUUUAUCAGUAAACCCUCCAGGAUGGAACUAUUUACUGAAAUGCCAGUACUCACCCUCAUUUUUUAAACUACAUGACCUGUUCAGUGCUGUCUAUUCUGGAAUGAAAGGCCAAUAUCCAAGUGUUCAGAAAGACCCGGGAGAUGGGACAAAGAGGAUGAAGCUGGGGCUGGAAGGCGACUCUGGGAACGGCUCAUAAAGAUGUCCCACAGAAUGACUGAGGCUUUGUUUCAUGAAUAGGUGUCUCCAUUCCUCCUUGAUGGCUAACCAGCCAACUGAACAAGUGUAAAGCGCCCAGGAAAGGCCCGUAAAACCCAUGACAUGAAAGAACGAUUUAGGAAAAUAACAAUUAAGGUAAAAAUAUCAUUUUUAUUGCAUAAAUUGCAUGAGGAGUUGUGAAAUUAAAACCAUUUAUUUAUAAAAGUUAUUUCCUCAAAAAAUAAAUAAUAUUAGGUAUAUCUCCUAAUGCUAUCCCUCCCCCCUCCCCACCCCACAACAGGCCCCAGUGUGUGAUGUUCCCCUUCCUGUGUCCAUGUGUUCUCAUUGUUCAAUUCCCACCUAUGAGUGAGAACAUGCGGUGUUACACCUAACGUUAAAUGACGAGUUAAUGGGUGCAGCACACCAACAUGGCACAUGUAUAUAUAUGUAACAAACUUGCGCGUUGUGCACAUGUACCCUAAAACUCAAAAUAUAAUAAAAAGAUAAAUAAUAUUCAAG